RNAcentral lists this ribosomal RNA (498 nucleotides) under uncultured bacterium. RNAcentral's name for it is "partial 16S ribosomal RNA". It matches the Rfam family "Bacterial small subunit ribosomal RNA", at positions 30 to 523 of the family's 1533-position model. The record is from RNAcentral.
AUUGAACGCUGGCGGCAUGCCUUACACAUGCAAGUCGAACGGUAACAGGUCUUCGGAUGCUGACGAGUGGCGAACGGGUGAGUAAUACAUCGGAACGUGCCUAGUAGUGGGGGAUAACUACUCGAAAGAGUGGCUAAUACCGCAUGAGAUCUACGGAUGAAAGCAGGGGAUCGCAAGACCUUGUGCUACUAGAGCGGCCGAUGGCAGAUUAGGUAGUUGGUGGGAUAAAAGCUUACCAAGCCGACGAUCUGUAGCUGGUCUGAGAGGACGAUCAGCCACACUGGGACUGAGACACGGCCCAGACGCCUACGGGAGGCAGCAGUGGGGAAUUUUGGAACAUGGGCGCAAGCCUGAUCCAGCAAUGCCGCGUGCAGGAUGAAGGCCUUCGGGUUGCAAACUGCUUUUGUACGGAACGAAAAGCCCCGGGUUAAUACCCUGGGGUCAUGACGGUACCGUAAGAAUAAGCACCGGCUAACUACGUGCCAGCCGCCGCGGUAA